CGGUAUUUUGACCGUGCGAAGGUAGCGCAAUCACUUGUCUUUUAAAUGGAGACCCGUAUGAAUGGCAUAACGAGGGCUUAACUGUCUCCUCUUUCAAGUCAAUGAAAUUGAUCUUCCCGUGCAGAAGCGGGAAUAUAAACAUAAGACGAGAAGACCCUAUGGAGCUUUAGACACCAAGGCAGCCCACAUCAAACACCCUUAAACAAGAGACUAAACCAUAGUGGACCCUGCCCUAAUGUCUUUGGUUGGGGCGACCGCGGGGAAUUACAAAACCCCCACGUGGAAUGGGAACACCCCUCCUACAGCUAAGAGCUACAGCUCUAGUAAACAGAAAUUCUGACCAACAAGAUCCGGCAACGCCGAUCAACGGACCGAGUUACCCUAGGGAUAACAGCGCAAUCCUCUUUUAGAGCCCAUAUCGACAAGGGGGUUUACGACCUCGAUGUUGGAUCAGGACAUCCUAAU
This 465-nucleotide ribosomal RNA is filed under the name Hexagrammos decagrammus (kelp greenling). RNAcentral's name for it is "partial 16S ribosomal RNA". It matches the Rfam family "Bacterial large subunit ribosomal RNA", at positions 1934 to 2551 of the family's 2925-position model. Lineage: Eukaryota; Metazoa; Chordata; Actinopteri; Perciformes; Hexagrammidae. The record is from RNAcentral.